UACGUAGGGGGCUAGCGUUGUCCGGAUUUAUUGGGCGUAAAGAGCGUGUAGGCGGCCAGGUAGGUCGGUUGUGAAAACUGGAGGCUCAACCUUCAGAGGUCGACCGAAACCAUCUGGCUAGAGUCCGGGAGAGGAGAGUGGAAUUCCUGGUGUAGCGGUGAAAUGCGCAGAUAUCAGGAAGAACACCCGUGGCGAAAGCGGCUCUCUGGAACGGUACUGACGCUGAGACGCGAAAGCGUGGGGAGCGAACUGG
This 253-nucleotide ribosomal RNA is filed under the name uncultured bacterium. RNAcentral describes it as "partial 16S ribosomal RNA". It matches the Rfam family "Bacterial small subunit ribosomal RNA", at positions 524 to 776 of the family's 1533-position model. The record is from RNAcentral.